This 253-nucleotide ribosomal RNA is filed under the name uncultured bacterium. Its description in RNAcentral is "partial 16S ribosomal RNA". It matches the Rfam family "Bacterial small subunit ribosomal RNA", at positions 524 to 776 of the family's 1533-position model. The record is from RNAcentral.
UACGUAGGUGGCAAGCGUUGUCCGGGAUUAUUGGGCGUAAAGCGCGCGCAGGCGGUCUUUUAAGUCUGAUGUGAAAGCCCACGGCUCAACCGUGGAGGGUCAUUGGAAACUGGAGGACUUGAGUACAGAAGAGGAAAGUGGAAUUCCACGUGUAGCGGUGGAAUGCGUAGAGAUGUGGAGGAACACCAGUGGCGAAGGCGACUUUCUGGUCUGUAACUGACGCUGAGGCGCGAAAGCGUGGGGAGCAAACAGG